RNAcentral lists this unclassified non-coding RNA (214 nucleotides) under Mycobacteroides chelonae. RNAcentral's name for it is "partial 16S-23S ribosomal RNA intergenic spacer". Lineage: Bacteria; Bacillati; Actinomycetota; Actinomycetes; Mycobacteriales; Mycobacteriaceae. The record is from RNAcentral.
AUUUCCCAGUCGAAUGAAUUGGGAACAUAAAGCGAGUGUCUGUAGUGGAUACAUGCUUGGUGAAUAUGUUUUAUAAAUCCUAUCCACCCCGUGGAUAGGUAGUCGGCAAAACGUCGAACUGUCAUAAGAAUUGAAACGCUGGCACACUGUUGGGUCCUGAGGCAACACGUUGUGUUGUCACCCUGCUUGGUGGUGGGGUGUGGUCCUUGACUUA